RNAcentral lists this long non-coding RNA (749 nucleotides) under Lotus japonicus. RNAcentral describes it as "long non-coding RNA (LJAP_LNC000892)". The record is from RNAcentral. Lineage: Eukaryota; Viridiplantae; Streptophyta; Magnoliopsida; Fabales; Fabaceae.
CAAAUGUUAUUCCUCUCACUUCCUUCGAGCAACAACAUUUGGGGGGCCUCUGUUGAUACCAAAAUUUUAUAUAUAUCAUGUGCCAGAACCUUAUAAUUUCUAGUCGAAAUAUGGUGCUGGUUUUGGUGUCGAAAUUAUAUGUUGAUGGAGCAUUGUUCAUGGUAUUGGUUAUCAAUUCAACUAUUUUUUAAUGUGUCCAAGUUGUCUAAUUGAUUGGUGAAGUUCUCGACUAAAGACAAGGAAAAAGAUGGCAACUGUCAAAGAAAGUGGAACGUGGCAAUUAUGGAGGUGGAAGUGGUGCAAGGAGUUACCUGAAGUAUAGCUACGGGAAGUUGACACAAGUUGUUGCAAGUUAUUUUAUUUGUAAUUAUGCCAAGUAUGUGGCUAUAAUGUAGGGAGUUAUUUUCUAAGAUUUAAUCUCCACCGUAGGAUUAAAAUGGUAGUUCCAUUUUAAGCUCUAUAAAUACUAGUUUGUAACUAGGACAAAGGGUUGGAUUCCUAAAUGACUGCAAAGCUCUAAAAAAGCCUUCAAGCCCACGGUUAUGGCAAACGGCUUCAACGAGUGUGCAGUAGACGGAUUCCUUCCACCAUUUACCAUUCCAGUAAUGAAUUUGCUUUGUUCUUAUUUGUUUUCUCUUUGAUUACCUUUUGAUUCCUUGCAAUCUUUUUUAUCUUCUUUUAAAUUUCUACUUGUUUCUACAUCUAUUGCAAUACUCACCGGAGUGUUGUUUCUUUCAAGUUGUCACCGG